This 85-nucleotide transfer RNA is filed under the name Shewanella piezotolerans WP3. Its description in RNAcentral is "tRNA-Leu". The record is from RNAcentral. Lineage: Bacteria; Pseudomonadati; Pseudomonadota; Gammaproteobacteria; Alteromonadales; Shewanellaceae.
GCACGGUAAUCGCCACGAAAAAGAACCGAUUUGAUGUGUAUGUUAAAGCGGCAAUGAUCUCUUGAAUUUCGUAUUGGUUAAUAAA